Molecule: ribosomal RNA, 526 nt
Filed under: Afrophaloria amani
Lineage: Eukaryota; Metazoa; Arthropoda; Insecta; Orthoptera; Phalangopsidae
Description: eukaryotic LSU rRNA
Rfam family: Eukaryotic large subunit ribosomal RNA
Source: RNAcentral
GUAGUAGCAAAUACUCUAGCGAGGCCCUGGAGGACUGACGCGGAGAAGGGUUUCGUGUGAACAGCCGUUGCACACGAGUCAGUCGAUCCUAAGCUCUAGGAGAGAUCCGAAGAAUCGGGGCGAGGCGCCCAGGAGAGCGAAAGGGAAUCCGGUCCCCAUUCCGGAACCCGGUCGCGGAACCGUCUCACGUCGGGCCCCCCGGCGGGAAGCUCGUCGGGGCGACCCAAAAUGACCCGGAGAAGCCGUCGGGAGGUCGGGGAAGAGUUUUCUUUUCUGUUUGAGCGUUCGGGUUCCCUGGAAUCGCCUCGCGCGGAGAGAGGGAAUGGAACGCGUAGAGCACCGCAGUUGCGGCGGUGUCCCGACACGCCCCUCGGACCUUGAAAAUCCGGGAGCGGGCCACGUGGAGGUAUCGCGCCGGUUCGUACCCAUAUCCGCAGCAGGUCUCCGAGGUCGAGAGCCUCUAGUCGAUGGAAUAAUGUAGGUAAGGGAAGUCGGCAAAUUGGAUCCGUAACUUCGGGAGAUGGAU